AGUGAACGCUGGCGGUAGGCCUAACACAUGCAAGUCGAACGGCAGCACAGUAAGAGCUUGCUCUUACGGGUGGCGAGUGGCGGACGGGUGAGGAAUACAUCGGAAUCUACUUUUUCGUGGGGGAUAACGUAGGGAAACUUACGCUAAUACCGCAUACGACCUACGGGUGAAAGCAGGAGAUCUUCGGACCUUGCGCGAUUGAAUGAGCCGAUGUCGGAUUAGCUAGUUGGCGGGGUAAAGGCCCACCAAGGCGACGAUCCGUAGCUGGUCUGAGAGGAUGAUCAGCCACGCUGGAACUGAGACACGGUCCAGACUCCUACGGGAGGCAGCAGUGGGGAAUAUUGGACAAUGGGCGCAAGCCUGAUCCAGCCAUACCGCGUGGGUGAAGAAGGCCUUCGGGUUGUAAAGCCCUUUUGUUGGGAAAGAAAAGCAGCAGGUUAAUACCCCGCUGUUCUGACGGUACCCAAAGAAUAAGCACCGGCUAACUUCGUG
RNAcentral lists this ribosomal RNA (492 nucleotides) under uncultured bacterium. Its description in RNAcentral is "partial 16S ribosomal RNA". It matches the Rfam family "Bacterial small subunit ribosomal RNA", at positions 29 to 507 of the family's 1533-position model. The record is from RNAcentral.